Non-coding RNA from Callithrix jacchus (white-tufted-ear marmoset), 3873 nucleotides. Lineage: Eukaryota; Metazoa; Chordata; Mammalia; Primates; Cebidae. The record is from RefSeq and is a predicted model, not a curated record.
UCCCCACAGGCCACGCUCCAGGAGAGAUGCAGCCUCACGGCCUCCACCCUGGCUGUGCCGUCCCGUCCCCACCGGCCACACUGCACGGCCUCCACCCUGGCUGUGCCGUCCCCGUCCCCACCGGCCACACUGCACGGCCUCCACCCUGGCUGUGCCGCCCGGUCCCCACAGGCCACGCUGCAGGCGAGGUGCAGCCUCACGCCUCCACCCUGGCAGUGCCAUCCACCUGAGACUCCUGUCUCCAGGCAUCCCCACGCCUCUUCUGUCUCCUCCUCCGGGUUUUGUUUUCUGUUUGUUUCAGGACGGGCGUGUUGCUCUGUCGCCCAAGCUGGAGUGCGGUGGCACAAUCACAGCUCACUGCAGCCUCGACCUCCUUGGGAUGGUCGGUGCCACAGAGAAAAAUCAGCACUGAGACAAAGGCUCUUUGAGCAACGCAGUUUUGACUUCGUGGACUGCAGGAGGGCUCCUCUAGAGAGAUGCCCAGCUCUACCCGAGCCUCCCAGUUAUCCGUCUAAACGAGGGACACUUCACUGCCAUCGCACAGUUCUCACUAGGCUGACCGCCCCUAGGAGCUGAGCUGCCCCUUGGCCCCAUCUAGGCCUCAGUUUCCCCACCCACGCUCCGGCCCCGCUCCGUGGGAUUCUAAACCGCUGCCCCAACGUGGGAGUUGAACGGAAACUACAACUCCCGAGAGGCCGAGCGGCCAAAGACACGGGAGAACUGCGGAGCGAGAGUCUCGUGCAGCCAACUGUCGCGCUCGUAAGGCUCGGGUUGCCCUUGGCGCUGCCGGUCCCAGAUGUUGCUGCAGUCAGGCCUUCGCGGAAGGCAGCCCAGCUCCGGGCGGGGUAAAGCGAAGGGGACCUGACUGGCGUUCGGCGCAGGCGCAGUCCGCGCGAGACGUCACUAGCGCAUGCGUAGGGGGUGCGAGUGGCGACCGCCAUGGACGACGAGGAGGAGACGUACCGGCUCUGGAAAAUCCGCAAGACCAUCAUGCAGCUGUGCCAUGACCGUGGCUACUUAGUGACCCAGGACGAGCUUGACCAGACACUGGAGGAGUUCAAAGCCCAGUUUGGGGACAAGCCGAGCGAGGGGCGGCCGCGGCGCACAGACCUCACCGUGCUGGUGGCACACAACGAUGACCCCACCGACCAGAUGUUUGUGUUCUUUCCAGAGGAGCCCAAGGUGGGCAUCAAGACCAUCAAGGUGUACUGCCAGCGCAUGCAGGAGGAGAACAUCACCCGCGCCCUCAUCGUGGUGCAGCAGGGCAUGACGCCCUCUGCCAAGCAGUCUCUGGUUGACAUGGCUCCCAAGUACAUCCUGGAGCAGUUUCUACAGCAGGAGUUGCUCAUCAACAUCACAGAGCAUGAGCUGGUCCCUGAGCAUGUCGUCAUGACCAAGGAGGAAGUGACGGAGCUGCUGGCCCGAUAUAAGCUCCGAGAGAACCAGCUGCCCAGGAUCCAGGCAGGGGACCCCGUGGCUCGAUAUUUCGGGAUAAAGCGUGGACAGGUGGUGAAGAUCAUCCGGCCCAGCGAGACAGCUGGCAGGUACAUCACCUACCGGCUGGUGCAGUAGCCGCCACCUGGACAGCUCCCACAGGCGGCCACACACACAGUGACCUGGUCACCCACAGGAGGGUGCCCCUGCUGGAGUCCAGCCCCCCAGCUCCUUCAGCUGCUGCUCCUCUGGACUCCCCAAGGGCCCUCCAUGUCCUCUCCCUGGUCCCUUCUGCCAAGGUUGCAGCUGCCCCAAAGAACAGACCUGAUUAGAAACUUUAUUCCAGCAAAAUAAACGUGCCUGUGAGAGAAUUCCACGGUGGCUCGGAGACCCCAGUGUACCUGAGCCCCAGGUGGCCAUACUGGCUUUCUGGAAAAGGGGGUCCAGGGCCUGUGUCCAGACCCUGCUGUAAUGCACUCUUGACACCCCUCCAAGCCCCAGCCUCUGCCCCCAUCCGAGGAUCCCAGAAUGGCUUCUGGAGGCCCAGUUCCUGCAGACCUGUGAGGAGGGCAGGGUCUCCGUCCGUCAUGCACACAGCCCCAGGGGCACCACCAGGGCCACGGUGGCUUCACGGACAGCAGUGAUGCCCCCCACUUGGCCCAGCCAGGCCUGCAAAGGAGUGCGGGGCACACUCCGCACAGCCCCAAGGCCUCAUGCUCCUGGAGGCAUGGCCUCCAGCCCCAGGAUGGCUGCUGAGCUACGCCACGGGGCUGGGACGCUCUGGAGAUGGACAGGAGCACGCAGGAGAAGCCGCCACCCGCGCUCCUGGCCCUACCCCAGUUCAGACGAACUCUGGCUGCCUCGCUCUGCAGGAGCCAAGUGCAAUCCACCCACCACGGAGCCUCAUGGGGGGCAGUGGGGCCUGCGGCACGUUGUUGGAGUGGUUGGUGUUGAACCCUGAGAGCUGCAGAGCUGAGCCCCCGUCCCCGUCCCCAUCCUCAUCCUCUCUGGCCACAGCCUCCAGCUGUUCUUCACUACCACUAUGGCUGCCAGAAGCCUCCUCCAGGCUGGCCUCGUGCUGGUGCUGCUCCAGGAAGCUGAGGCGGCGCAGGGCACUGGCCUCCGAUGAGGACAGCAGCUCGGAGGCCUCCUCCAGGUCCGAGUCGGAGUCGUUGGACACAACUCGGGAUUCUGAGGAAGGGAGAUGGAGGGAAGAGAGAGAUGGGGAGAAACAGUGGAGGGAGGGAGGAGAGGACUGUUAAUGUGGCCUGGCUGUCCGACCCAAGUCUCAUCUGGUAGCUCCCAUAAUUCCCACGUUGUGGGAGGGGCCUGGCAGGAGACGGUGGAAUCGUGGGGCAGGUCUUUCCUGUGCUGUUCCCAUGACAGUGAGUCUCACCAAGAUCUGGAGCCAGGUGCGGUGGCCACUCUGGGAGGCUGAGGUGGGUGGAUUGCCAGGUCAGGAAAUCAAGAGCAGCCUGGCCAACAUGGUAAAACCUUGUCUCUACUAAAAAUACAAGAUCUAGGCUGGUGGUGCGUGCCUGUAAUGCCAGCUGCGCAGGACACUGAGGCAGAAUUGCCUGAACCUGGGAGGUGGAGUUUGCAGCCAGCUGAGCGCACGGCGUCGCACUCCAGCCUGGAGACAGCUAGACUCCAUCUCAAACAACGAACCGAGUUUCCCGGCCUGGUGCAGGGGCUCACACCUAUAAUCCCAGAGUUUUGGAAGCCGAGGCGGACAGAUCACGAGGUCAGGAGUUUGAGACCAGUCUGCCCAACAUGCUAAAACCCCACCUCUCCUAAAAAUGCAAAACUUGGUCGGGCAUGGCCAGGUGUGGUGGUUUAUCCCUGAAAUCCCAGCGCUUUGGCAGGUCACCUGAGGUCGGGAGUUUGAAACCAGCCUGGCCAACCCUAUCUCUGCUAAAAAUACAAAAAUUAGCCGGGCGCCGUGGUUCAUGCCUGUACUCCCAGCACUUCGUGAGGCCAAGGUGGGCGGAUCACGAGGUCAGGAGAUUGAGACCAUCCUGGACAACUUGGUGGAACCCCAUCACUAAAAUACAAAAGAAAAGCCGGGCAUGGUGUUUCCAGCUGUUCACAGGCUAAGGCCAGGAAAUUGCUUUAACCGGGAGGCGGAGGUUGCAGUGAGCCGGGAUUGCACCACCGAACUCCAGCCUGGAGACAGGGAGACUGUCUCCAAAUCAGGUGAACGUGGGGGCAGGUGCCUGUAAUCUCAGCUACUUGGGAGGCUGAGGCAGGAAAAUUGUUUGAACCCUGGAGGCGGAGGUGGAAAUGAGCAGAGAUGGAGCCAGGCUGGGGGCGGGUGUCCUGGCACAGGCUCUCUGCCGCCAUCCAUGCAGGAUGUGACUUGCUCCUAGCCUUCCACCAUGUAUUUCAGGCCUCCCCACCUACAUGGAACUGAGUCCAUUAAACAUCUCUCGUAAAUUG